Molecule: ribosomal RNA, 488 nt
Filed under: uncultured bacterium
Lineage: Bacteria
Description: bacterial SSU rRNA
Rfam family: Bacterial small subunit ribosomal RNA
Source: RNAcentral
GAUGAACGCUGGCGGCGUGCCUAACGCAUGCAAGUCGAACGAAGCUUGACGGAUGAUUUCUUCGGAAUGAAACCAGAUAUGACUUAGUGGCGGACGGGUGAGUAACACGUGAGCAACCUGCCUUUCAGAGGGGGAUAACGGCUGGAAACGGUCGCUAAUACCGCAUGAAGUGUUCGGAUGGCAUCAUCUGAACAUCAAAGAUUUAUCGCUGAAAGAUGGGCUCGCGUCUGAUUAGAUAGUUGGUGGGGUAACGGCCUACCAAGUCGACGAUCAGUAGCCGGACUGAGAGGUUGAACGGCCACAUUGGGACUGAGAUACGGCCCAGACUCCUACGGGAGGCAGCAGUGGGGAAUAUUGCACAAUGGGGGGAAACCCUGAUGCAGCAACGCCGCGUGAAGGAUGACGGUUUUCGGAUUGUAAACUUCUUUUCUUAGUGACGAAGACAGUGACGGUAGCUAAGGAAUAAGCAUCGGCUAACUACGUGCCAG